This 605-nucleotide ribosomal RNA is filed under the name Moesziomyces aphidis. Its description in RNAcentral is "eukaryotic LSU rRNA". It matches the Rfam family "Eukaryotic large subunit ribosomal RNA", at positions 62 to 648 of the family's 3401-position model. The record is from RNAcentral. Lineage: Eukaryota; Fungi; Basidiomycota; Ustilaginomycetes; Ustilaginales; Ustilaginaceae. RNAcentral also lists the same sequence under 1 other name.
AAACUAACAAGGAUUCCCCUAGUAACGGCGAGUGAAGAGGGAAGAGCCCAAGAUUGAAAGCUGGCGUCUUCGGCGUCCGCAUUGUAAUCUCAAGAAGUGUUUUCCGCUUCGGACCAUGCCUAAGUCCCUUGGAAAAGGGCAUCAUAGAGGGUGAUAAUCCCGUACAUGGCAUGGAGCGCCCGAAGCUUUGUGAUACGCUUUCUAAGAGUCGAGUUGUUUGGGAAUGCAGCUCAAAAUGGGUGGUAAAUGCCAUCUAAGGCUAAAUAUUGGGGAGAGACCGAUAGCGAACAAGUACAGUGAUGGAAAGAUGAAAAGAACUUUGAAAAGAGAGUUAAACAGUACGUGAAAUUGCCAAAAGGGAAGGGUAGGAGGUCAGAGAUGCGGCCUGGGAUUCAGCCUUGCUUUUGCUUGGUGUUUUUCCCAGAUUGCAGGCCAACGUCGGUUUUGGGCACUGGAGAAGGGUAGGAGGAACGUGGCACCUCUCGGGGUGUGUUAUAGCCUCCUACUGGAUACAGCGACCGAGACCGAGGACAGCAGCGUACUCGCAAGAGCGGGCCUUCGGGCACCUUUACGCUUAGGGCGUUGGCAUAAUGGCCCUCUACCAC